Long non-coding RNA from Salvelinus sp. IW2-2015, 845 nucleotides. RefSeq lists it as uncharacterized. The record is from RefSeq and is a predicted model, not a curated record. NCBI's taxonomy places the organism in Eukaryota, Metazoa, Chordata, Actinopteri, Salmoniformes, Salmonidae.
GACACGGAGACACGGAGACAGAGAGAAGACAGAGAGACCGAGGGAUAGAGAGAGGGAGGAGAGAGAGGCACGCUUCAAAGAGGAGGCACUACUGCAGUGUCUGCAGUACUCUGCAAAAUCUGGAAUUUCUGCAAUCAAGCUGACUGCAGUGAUACAGUUCUACAAGGAACAUGGUGUGGCUCAAAGGAAGAAGAGGUGUGGUGGUUAUCUCGCCAGCAAACGGGUGCUGUCCUACGAGGACAUUCAGCGAAUCAUCCACUAUGUCAAUAACUUCACACAUGUCUGCACGAUGCCGCUCCCAGGACGGAUCCCUGGAUUUAAAAGGGCAGGCAUCCGGGUGCUACCGACAUUUGAGACCAAGUCCUCUGUGUGGCGGAAGUAAAACUUUGAUGAGUGAUCAUGGGUUUCCUGAGUCACACGGGUGGGGAUGACCUCCAAAGCCUGGAGGUGCCCUCCCCAGGGUCCUGCUCAUGGCUGUAAGGAGAAGAGGGCUGGGAGGUCAGGAGCUCAUGGCUGGAGGUAGAGGGCUGGAAGAUCUCCUCGUUGCUGGAGGUAGAGGGUUGAAGGAUCUCCUCAGGGCUGGAGAUGGAAGGGCCCUCACUUGGGCUGUCACCACUCUUCACCUCUAUACACAGAGUGAAGGUCAUCUAAGGCAUGUUUCAGUCGCUCCAGAGAGCUCUGAUCUUUUUUUUUACAGAAAAAAGGGAAAUGUUAGGGUCAUUAUGUAGAUAAAACUCACCAAAAUUGGGGGAAAUAACCAACAUGUUAUUUAAUGUACAUAUUGCCACUUGUGUUUUUAAGAAGGUUUUAUUGUUUAUGUACUAUAUACAGUGACUUCAGAAAGU